GAUGAACGCUGACAGAAUGCUUAACACAUGCAAGUCAACUUGAAUUUGGGUUUUUAACUUAGGUUUGGGUGGCGGACGGGUGAGUAACGCGUAAAGAACUUGCCUCUCAGCUAGGGACAACAUUUGGAAACGAAUGCUAAUACCUAAUAUUAUGAUAAUAGGGCAUCCUAUAAUUAUGAAAGCUAUAAGCGCUGUGAGAGAGCUUUGCGUCCCAUUAGCUAGUUGGAGAGGUAACGGCUCACCAAGGCGAUGAUGGGUAGCCGGUCUGAGAGGGUGAGCGGCCACAAGGAGACUGAGACACGGCCCUUACUCCGACGGGAGGCAGCAGUGGGGAAUAUUGGACAAUGGACCGAGAGUCUGAGCCAGCAUGUCUGUGUGCACGAUGAAGUUUUUCGGAAUGUAAAGUUCUUUCAGUUGGGAAGAAACAAAUGACGGUACCAACAGAAGAAGUGACGGCUAAAUACGUG
RNAcentral lists this ribosomal RNA (467 nucleotides) under uncultured bacterium. RNAcentral describes it as "partial 16S ribosomal RNA". It matches the Rfam family "Bacterial small subunit ribosomal RNA", at positions 28 to 507 of the family's 1533-position model. The record is from RNAcentral.